AACGUAGGAGACGAGCGUUAUCCGGAAUUACUGGGCGUAAAGCGCGAGUAGGCGGCUAUUUAAGUGGUCUGUGAAAGCGUCCGGCUCAACUGGACGAGGCCGGAUCAGACUGGAUGGCUCGAGGGUCAGAGAGGCAGGCGGAAUUCCGGGAGUAGUGGUGAAAUGCGUAGAGAUCCGGAGGAACACCAGUGGCGAAGGCGGCCUGCUGGCUGACAACUGACGCUGAGGCGCGAAAGCAUGGGGAGCGAACGGG
Molecule: ribosomal RNA, 253 nt
Filed under: uncultured bacterium
Lineage: Bacteria
Description: partial 16S ribosomal RNA
Rfam family: Bacterial small subunit ribosomal RNA
Source: RNAcentral